GUGGAAUCUCAUUCUGAUUUUGAUUUACAUUUUCCUAAUAAUUAAUUGUGUUGAGCAGCAUUUCUUGUGCUUAUUGUAUUGCAUUAUUUGUAUAUCUUCUUUGAAGAGUUGUCUAUUCAAAUUUUUUGCUCAUUUUUUAUUGUAAAAAGCAGAUAACAUAAAUUUUACCAUCUUAAUCAUUUAAGUGCUAAAUAUAUUAACAUUGUUUUAAAACAGAUCUCUAGAACUUCUCAUUCUGUAAAAUUGAAACUCUGUAUCCAUCUCAUUAAACAACUAAGUCCCUUUUCCCUUUCUCCCUAGACCAGGGUAUCCACCAUUCUACUUUUUGUUUCUUUACUGUUGCUUUGACUACUUUAGAUCAGGUGAUUCUCCCCCUUGUGGAGCAGCAAGAGGUCUUGGAUUUUAUGUCAGCUUCCCAGUGGCCCCAGGAAAAGUGGAGUGUUCAAUCUCAUAGUCUUGCUGCUGACUCCCUGCUGGAGGAAGUGGGGCAAGAGUGUCCCCUCCAAGUGCCCACUGUGUGAGUGGGGGUGUUGUGAGACCGGAUCUGAGCUGGACCCUGCUGACCCCAGAGAGGGAUGCCCAGAUAUUUCUAGUUGUAAGUGAGAGGACCUGCUUGAUUGGGAGCAUUUCCUCUUGGUCAGAACUGGAAACCCUGGUGAUGCCUGCUCUGAAUGGUUUCCUCCAGUACUAGGAUGAUGGAGUUCCUGCAGAACCUAAGUUAUGGAGGUGAUUUAUCCUGAUCCCCAAGCUAUAGAAAUAAGACAGAGAUCACAAGUAUGCAAGGAGGCAGGCAGAGAGAGAGGAGGAAACAGGCUUUCCGCGGAGCAGAGAGCCCGAUGCGGGGCUCGAUCCCAGGACCCUGGGAUCAGGACCCCAGCCAAAGGCAGAGGCUUCAACCCACUGAGCCACCCAGGCGCCCCGAUAAUGGACACAGUUUGCUGGCAUGUCAUAUUUGAGAGAGACACACAUAGACUCAGAUAUGACCAGACAGCUUUAAGGAAUAAGGAUGACCUUGUGGAGCCAAUAAAGCCCUUGGAAAUACCAGCCUCAUACUUUGUUUACAGAGAUCCCAGCAGCCUCACCAGUUGAUUAAAGAAGGUCACUCAUGGCAGGAAUCUUCGGAUAUUUUGAGAACCUCAAAAAGGCAAGAAUUCACCCAUAUAUAUGGGUAUCAAAGAGGAAGUCUGAUUGCAAGUAUUUGGCCUUAAGGAGCUAUGAAAAGUUCAAUCUAGAGAUUCCUUAUAAAAGUUCUAAUAAAGCGGGUUUUAAGGAACAUACAUGGUCAAGCACUUCUUGUUGGUGUUAUGUAAAUCAUCAGCCCAUUUUUUUUUUAAAUUAGACUUAUUUUGCAAACACCUGGGUAUUAAUUUCGCUAUCUUUAGUAAAAAUGGGGGCAACUAUAGAGGAAAAAUGUGCUUCAAUCACACAUGCUUGUAAAUAUUAGGUUUUUUUUUUUUUUUAUUGUUGUUAACUUUCCAGGAACUUUAAUUUUUUUAAUUUUUAAUUUUUAUUUUAUUUUAUUUUUUUGCAUAAGAUAUAUUUAUUAAGUAGAAGUGAUGAAUUAAAAACAAAAGCUAGUGUUUAUUUAAUGGUUACUACAUGACAAACACUAUCUAUAUUAACUCUUUUAAAAUACAUUAUGCUAUGUAUAUCUAACAUUUCUAAGAUUCUAGCAAUAGUGCCUUCAUUUUUCAAAAAAUUUUAAAGGAAAAAGAGAUGAAAGAAGGAAACUGCUGUUGGUCACAUAGCUGAGAUGUGAUGGAGCCUGGACUCAAGCUCACAAAGUCAAAAUCUAAAGCCACUAUUAUCAACUAUUAUGUAUAUGCUCCUUGGAGAAAAGGUCAAAUACCCAAAUGCUGAUGAACAGAUUAUGGAGAAUCUUCUCAGAAAAUAAGAAGUCACUGAGAUGAGUUGAGUAACAGUAAGAGUGAAACUCUUGAGAAAAGACCACACAUGAUUGAAGAUCUACACACUUUCAGAGAAGUCAAAAUUACAGCCAUCCUGUGGGCUGCCAGGAAUGCCUUCCAUGUCCAUUUCCAAGUCCAUCGUGAUAACGGCUAUUCCUAGUGGUAAGGAUUUCCUGUGUUGCUACAUGGCCAAGUUCUGUGGCUAAGAUUUCUUUGUUCUCUACUAUCACAGGUAUUCUUUUUUUUUUUUAAAUAAAUUAAUCUAUUUAUUUUCAGAAAAACAGUAUUCAUUAUUUUUCAUUUUUCUUUUUUCUUUUUUGUUAACUUUCCAGGGACUUUAUUUUUUUAAUUCUUUAAAAAUUUACUUAUUUAUUUAUUAUUUUCAGCAUAACAGUAUUCAUUAUUUUUGCACCACACCCAGUGCUCCAUGCAAUCUGUGCCCUCUCUGAUACCCACCACCUGGUACCCCGACCUCCCNNNNNNNNNNNNNNNNNNNNNNNNNNNNN
Molecule: long non-coding RNA, 2413 nt
Filed under: Mustela putorius furo (domestic ferret)
Lineage: Eukaryota; Metazoa; Chordata; Mammalia; Carnivora; Mustelidae
Description: lncRNA (ENSMPUG00000031370.1)
Source: RNAcentral